RNAcentral lists this ribosomal RNA (28 nucleotides) under Cortinarius traganus. RNAcentral describes it as "partial 18S ribosomal RNA". RNAcentral also lists the same sequence under 12 other names. Lineage: Eukaryota; Fungi; Basidiomycota; Agaricomycetes; Agaricales; Cortinariaceae. The record is from RNAcentral.
CAGUAGGUGACCUGCGGAAGGAUCAUUA